RNAcentral lists this ribosomal RNA (450 nucleotides) under uncultured bacterium. RNAcentral describes it as "partial 16S ribosomal RNA". It matches the Rfam family "Bacterial small subunit ribosomal RNA", at positions 354 to 796 of the family's 1533-position model. The record is from RNAcentral.
GUGGGGAAUUUUGGACAAUGGGGGCUACCCUGAUCCAGCAAUGCCGCGUGCAGGAAGAAGGCCUUCGGGUUGUAAACUGCUUUUGUACGGAACGAAACGGUCCUGGUUAAUACCUGGGGCUAAUGACGGUACCGUAAGAAUAAGCACCGGCUAACUACGUGCCAGCAGCCGCGGUAAUACGUAGGGUGCAAGCGUUAAUCGGAAUUACUGGGCGUAAAGCGUGCGCAGGCGGUUUUGUAAGACAGGCGUGAAAUCCCCGGGCUCAACCUGGGAAUGGCGCUUGUGACUGCAAGGAUGGAGUGCGGCAGAGGGGGAUGGAAUUCCGCGUGUAGCAGUGAAAUGCGUAGAUAUGCGGAGGAACACCGAUGGCGAAGGCAAUCCCCUGGGCCUGCACUGACGCUCAUGCACGAAAGCGUGGGGAGCAAACAGGAUUAGAUACCCUAGUAGUCC